Molecule: microRNA precursor, 148 nt
Organism: Danio rerio (zebrafish)
Lineage: Eukaryota; Metazoa; Chordata; Actinopteri; Cypriniformes; Danionidae
Gene: mir153b
Product: microRNA 153b
Source: Ensembl
GAGCGAUGGAGCGCGGUAGCGAGGUAUUGCACAGCUGUCUGUGUCAUUUUUGUGGUUUGCAGCUAGUAGUCUGGUUCCAGUUGCAUAGUCACAAAAAUGAGCACAGACAGAUGUGACUGCAGCAACGCUGAUGAAACGCUCCAUCGCC